GGACCCGCACAAGUAGUGGAGCAUGUGGUUUAAUUCGAAGAUACGCGCAGAACCUUACCAACACUUGACAUGUUCGUCGCGACUUUAAGAGAUUAAAGUUUUCGGUUCGGCCGGACGAAACACAGGUGCUGCAUGGCUGUCGUCAGCUCGUGUCGUGAGAUGUUGGGUUAAGUCCCGCAACGAGCGCAACCCUCACUUUUAGUUGCCAUCAUUAAGUUGGGCACUCUGAAAGAACUGCCAGUGAUAAGCUGGAGGAAGGUGGGGAUGACGUCAAGUCCUCAUGGCCCUUACGUGUUGGGCUACACACGUGCUACAAUGGCAUCUACAACAGGAAGCAAAACGGCAACGUUAAGAACAAUCCCGAAAAGAUGCCUCAGUUCGGAUUGCACUCUGCAACUCGAGUGCAUGAAGCUGGAAUUACUAGUAAUCG
RNAcentral lists this ribosomal RNA (430 nucleotides) under uncultured bacterium. RNAcentral describes it as "bacterial SSU rRNA". It matches the Rfam family "Bacterial small subunit ribosomal RNA", at positions 917 to 1344 of the family's 1533-position model. The record is from RNAcentral.